RNAcentral lists this ribosomal RNA (497 nucleotides) under uncultured bacterium. RNAcentral describes it as "partial 16S ribosomal RNA". It matches the Rfam family "Bacterial small subunit ribosomal RNA", at positions 28 to 507 of the family's 1533-position model. The record is from RNAcentral.
GAUGAACGCUGGCGGCGUGCCUAAUACAUGCAAGUCGAGCGAACAGACGAGGAGCUUGCUCCUCUAACGUUAGCGGCGGACGGGUGAGUAACACGUGGAUAACCUACCUAUAAGACUGGGAUAACUUCGGGAAACCGGAGCUAAUACCGGAUAUAUUUUGGAACGCAUGGUUUCAUAAUGAAAAACGGGUUUUGUGUUACCUAUAGGAUGAUUCUCGGCCGCAUAAGUUAGUUGGUAAGUAAACGGCUUACCAAGGCGACGAUGCGUAGCCGACCUGAGAGGGUGAUCGGCCACACUGGAACUGAGACACGGUCCAGACUCCUACGGGAGGCAGCAGUAGGGAAUCUUCCGCAAUGGGCGAAAGCCUGACGGAGCAACGCCGCGUGAGUGAUGAAGGUCUUCGGAUCGUAAAACUCUGUUAUUAGGGAAGAACAAAUGUGUAAGUAACUAUGCACGUCUUGACGGUACCUAAUCAGAAAGCCACGGCUAACUACGUG